This 490-nucleotide ribosomal RNA is filed under the name uncultured bacterium. Its description in RNAcentral is "partial 16S ribosomal RNA". It matches the Rfam family "Bacterial small subunit ribosomal RNA", at positions 28 to 507 of the family's 1533-position model. The record is from RNAcentral.
GAUGAACGCUAGCGAUAGGCUUAACACAUGCAAGUCGAGGGGCAGCAUGGUCUUAGCUUGCUAAGACUGAUGGCGACCGGCGCACGGGUGCGUAACGCGUAUGCAACUUGCCUCACAGAGGGGGAUAACCCGUCGAAAGACGGACUAAUACCGCGUACACUCCAUCUUGGGCAUCCAAGGUAGAGGAAAUGAAAUUCGCUGUGAGAUAGGCAUGCGUCCCAUUAGCUAGUUGGUGAGGUAACGGCUCACCAAGGCGACGAUGGGUAGGGGAACUGAGAGGUUGAACCCCCACACUGGUACUGAGACACGGACCAGACUACUACGGGAGGCAGCAGUGAGGAAUAUUGGUCAAGGGGCGAGAGCCUGAACCAGCCAAGUCGCGUGAGGGAUGACUGUCUUAUGGAUUGUAAACUUCUUUUAUACGGGAAUAACAAGAGUCACGUGUGACUCCCUGCAUGUACCGUAUGAAUAAGCAUCGGCUAACUCCGUG